This 215-nucleotide ribosomal RNA is filed under the name uncultured Streptococcus sp. Its description in RNAcentral is "partial 16S ribosomal RNA". It matches the Rfam family "Bacterial small subunit ribosomal RNA", at positions 1168 to 1382 of the family's 1533-position model. Lineage: Bacteria; Bacillati; Bacillota; Bacilli; Lactobacillales; Streptococcaceae. The record is from RNAcentral.
GGGAAGUGGGGAUGACGUCAAAUCAUCACGCCCCUUAUGACCUGGGCUACACACGUGCUACAAUGGUUGGUACAACGAGUUGCGAGUCGGUGACGGCGAGCUAAUCUCUUAAAGCCAAUCUCAGUUCGGAUUGUAGGCUGCAACUCGCCUACAUGAAGUCGGAAUCGCUAGUAAUCGCGGAUCAGCACGCCGCGGUGAAUACGUUCCCGGGCCUU